Long non-coding RNA from Gadus morhua (Atlantic cod), 514 nucleotides. NCBI's taxonomy places the organism in Eukaryota, Metazoa, Chordata, Actinopteri, Gadiformes, Gadidae. The record is from Ensembl.
GGAUACGGCGCUAGGGUAUACAGCUGAACUCAUCAAAAGAGGAACUAAACCCGCCCCACAUUGGACCCGGCGGGAGCGCGGUGGAUAUGCACCCUACAACAGACCUGACGAGGUUUUGUAUAUAUAUAUGGGUUCAUGAAUUACAGGUCCUGAUGGCAGGGGGAAACAAGAGCUGCGACUAUAACAAUGUCCAAAACCACCCACAUGCACCAGCGCACCAAUACAUGAAGAUCACCUGAGCCAUCCAUAUCCACGCGAGCCUACAGAUAAUCUUGAAUUUUUUGAUUUGUUCAUCUCCUCUUCGUCCGCUUAUCCGGGGUCGGCUCGCGGGGGGAGCAGCUCAAGCAGGGGGCCCCAGACUUCCCUUUCCCGGGCCACAUUGACCAGCUCUGACAGGGGGAUCCCGAGGCGUUCCCAGGCCAGUGUUGAGAUAUAAUCUCUCCACCUAGUCCUGGGUCUUCCCCGAGGUCUCCUCCCACUAGGACGUGCCUGAAACACCUCCCAAGGAAGGCGC